UUAGGAAUCUUCCACAAUGGGCGAAAGCCUGAUGGAGCGACGCCGCGUGAGGGAUGAAGGUUUUCGGAUCGUAAACCUCUGAAUCUGGGACGAAAGACGCGCAAGCGGGAUGACGGUACCAGAGUAAUAGCACCGGCUAACUCCGUGCCAGCAGCCGCGGUAAUACGGAGGGUGCAAGCGUUACCCGGAAUCACUGGGCGUAAAGGGCGUGUAGGCGGGAACUUAAGUCUGGUUUUAAAGACUGGGGCUCAACCCCGGGGAUGGACUGGAUACUGGGUUUCUAGACCUCUGGAGAGAUACUCGGAAUUUCUGGUGUAGCGGUGGAAUGCGUAGAUACCAGAAGGAACACCGAUGGCGAAGGCAGAGUAUUGGACAGAAGGUGACGCUGAGGCGCGAAAGUGUGGGGAGCGAACCG
RNAcentral lists this ribosomal RNA (415 nucleotides) under uncultured bacterium. RNAcentral describes it as "bacterial SSU rRNA". It matches the Rfam family "Bacterial small subunit ribosomal RNA", at positions 355 to 775 of the family's 1533-position model. The record is from RNAcentral.